Molecule: long non-coding RNA, 219 nt
Filed under: Elaeis guineensis (African oil palm)
Lineage: Eukaryota; Viridiplantae; Streptophyta; Magnoliopsida; Arecales; Arecaceae
Description: long non-coding RNA (EGUI_LNC061425)
Source: RNAcentral
GCGGUUGAAGUCAUGGGUGGAGCCCGGCUCCCGUAGGAGUCCGGGCGGAGUCUCCCUUGGAGUCGUAUACGGAGCCCGGCUCCCGUAGGAGUCCGGGCAGAUUUCUCUUGCAAUUAAAGUCAGGUGCGAAGUCUGGCUUCCGUAGGAGUCCGGACGGAGCUUACCAGCAGUUGAAGUUGGCGACAGAGCCCUGCUCCCAUAGGAGUCCGGGCGGAGUCC